Stylophora pistillata is the source of this 119-nucleotide long non-coding RNA. NCBI's taxonomy places the organism in Eukaryota, Metazoa, Cnidaria, Anthozoa, Scleractinia, Pocilloporidae. The record is from RefSeq and is a predicted model, not a curated record.
UGAAUUGUUGGAAGAAAUGGUCGCAUGGGAAUGUAGGAAUGAUCUACCUGCUCGAUUUGUGUCUGCAACGCUUCAUGUUGAUAAGUCCCUCAAAAUGGCGGCCAAACUUGGAGAUUGCC